Molecule: ribosomal RNA, 554 nt
Filed under: Terebra funiculata
Lineage: Eukaryota; Metazoa; Mollusca; Gastropoda; Neogastropoda; Terebridae
Description: partial 12S ribosomal RNA
Source: RNAcentral
ACACCAAGAAGUUAAGUCAUACGGAAAUGGUUAAAAGACAGUUAAGUGUUGUAGAAAAUGUUAGGUUAUAUAAUGUAAUGUAUAGAGGUAAAAUUUAAGUGCAAUUAUAUGAAUCAGAAAUAACUUAUAGGCUGAAUCUGUGAAAUUCUUGAGGGAAACUGGGAUUAGGUACCCCAUUAUUCUUGAAUGUAAAUAGAAGUUUUUUACCGGAGUACUAUGAAUACUAUAAAUUUAAAACUCAAAGAACUUGGCGGUGUUUUAGACCACUCAGGGGAACCUGUCUCGUAAUCGACAAUCCACGUUGUACCUGACCUUUCUUUGUUCUCAGUUUGUAUACCGUUGUCGUCAGGUAACUUUUUAGAAUGUAGAAGUUGGCUGGAGAAAUAAAUGAUUUAGUACGUCAAAUCAAGGUGCAGCUAAUAGAAAGGGGAGGAUGGGUUACAAUUAUUUAUUUAUAAUUACGGAUUAUUAUGUUAAAGCGUAAAAAUAAGAAGGAGGACUUGAAAGUAAAUUAAAUUUAUAAAAAUAAAUUUGAAUAAGGCUCUGAAACGUGU